Long non-coding RNA from Alligator sinensis (Chinese alligator), 6934 nucleotides. RefSeq lists it as uncharacterized. NCBI's taxonomy places the organism in Eukaryota, Metazoa, Chordata, Crocodylia, Alligatoridae. The transcript is spliced from 3 exons. The record is from RefSeq and is a predicted model, not a curated record.
UGAAGAUGCUUCCCAUGUUCGCACGCGCGGCUCGAAGGGCAUCUCUGUGUAAAGAGUAAAGCAGGGAGGGCCGGGCAUGUCAUUUAAAGAACGUGUUAUUUUCUCCGUGAGCAGUUGAUCCGCUCUCUGAUAAUGUUCGCAGCGCCGUGGUUCACGUCGGGGGUAUCUAACGGCAGUUUUGCGAGAGAGGGUGCUUCAUUUGUUUGUCAGGAUGUUCUGGCCUAUCGGUUGCUUUUAAUGUUAUUAAGUUGUUGAAAAACUUCUGCCUUCUACCGUAGCCAAAAAUGAACCGUUUGCCUCGUAGUUCAGUGGUUGUGGGCUGCGAAGAAGCGCUGAGUGCCACUCAUCUGGCAGCAGAGACGAGUACGGGAUAAAAGCAGGAAUCUUGUUCAGAUUUCGGAAACCACAGAGCGAGCGGCAGACCGAGGCCCCGCAGCAGGAAGGCAGAUGAGCAUACACGUUAACGCUGCUAGGAAAAUUGGACGUGUUCAGUGAUCUUCUCCUCCUCGCCCCUCCUUAAUGUCUCCCUGGUGGAAACCCGCGAUUCCCUACAACUGCACUACGCUGUGUUUCUGGACCGUUAGACUAGGUGUCACUAUUGCUUUUCAGAGUGGCGGUUCUCUUCGCUGGUAAUCUUUGAAUGCAGAGGUCAGAAGUUUUCGAUCCUGUUGGUGGCGAAGGUCUGGCUCAUCUCAAGUCACGUGGCGUAUUUUACUAAUAGCCAGAAGUUGAGGGACAAGCGCGCUUGAAAGCGUGACGAGGUUCCUCUGUGAUAGGAGCUGUGGAUGUGCAGCCUGAGCUGUGAUCCAGUCCCAAGGCGUGUUUGCAUUUACUGGUAGAAGAGGUGGAGCAGCUUUGGUUUAGUUGAACAUCUGAGCAAGAAUGUUUCGGCUCCUGUGCGCGAUAACAGGUUUGGGACGCAGCUGCCUUGUCUUACAGUAGGAGAUUCCAGGAGCCCGUUUACCUGGGACUGAGUAUAUGCCAGGGGUGUCCUUUGAACCCUUGUGUGAACUUUAUGCUAUUUGUUAUUUCCAGGAACUCAAAGGUCUUCUCUGGACCAAACAAAUCAAAAAACUUCCUGCCUAGUGUCUAACAGCAUCGGGAUUUGAGGGAACCUUACUCAUUACGUAACGUUUUAGGGGAGUCUGCUUAAAGCUGAACGUUGCAUCUGGGAAUCCUUGAUGAUCAAAAUGUGGUGGAAGAAAUUGUGCGGUGGUGUUGGGUAAUUUUGUGUUGUGGAUCUAGGGCUCCUCCCAAGUCAGAUCUGCAGUGACAAGUCUAGGGACGGCAGCGAGAGGUCCAGCAGGUGCAAAGCCAGCAGAGGCAGUAUCUGUGCAGCCCUUGCUUGCCCCUCGGCCGCCAGGUCCAUUGGGGCCCGGAGGCCCCAAAUUCCACAGCUGGCUUCUGCAUGGCUCCGCCGCAUCUUCCAGUGGCCUGGCAGACUGGACAGGGAGGCUCUGUGGCCAGAUCUGGUCUGCGAGCUGAUCUGUGACACCUCUGGUCUGGAGCGGUGACUCUCAGCCAGGGUGCCGCGGCAUCCCGGGGUGCUGUGAAGUCCUUUCAAGGAUGCCCCAUGGUGCCGUGCAAUAUUGGCAGUGUUUGGUGUGAUGCACGAGAUAAGCCUGGAGGUUUCAAAUAGGAAUCUGUAGAAUCAAAACAUUGCUGACCUGUCGUGGUCUUCUGAGUUCUUCAUGACGGAGUCGGAGAGGAGUGGGGCUGGAAGGGACCUCCAGAGGCUGUCUAGUCCAACCCUCUGCCUGAGGCAGGAUCAUCCCUGUAGAAUAUUUGCUGUAUUAUUUUUCCCUAGUUAAAAAAAAAUGCAUGAAAGCUAAGAGCUGGCACUUUCUGAGGUGGGCCUCGAGUCUAAGGAGCUGAGAACCACUAAUGUAGAGUGAAGCACUUGGCUGUUUGGCUUUGACAUAGUGAAACUUGGUGGGGAUUUUUGCCCAGUAAAGCUAUGACAGACUGAAAAGUGUGGGUGUUGUCCUCUCUACUUGAUGGGUGGGACAUGUAUCUCAAGUUCAGUAUUUAGUAGGAUUUGGGUUGUACAUUGUAAUAAUAUUCUCUGGCAUGGAGUGUGUAUAGCGAAGAAAUCAAGAAAGAAAGUGUUUGUGUAUAACUGCUGCUUAUCAGAGAGAAAUAUUUGCCAGCUUUGUCGUUUCAGAUGUCCUCCCCCCCAGCAAUACUUCAUUCAAGUUUUCUGAAAUAAAGUUGAAUCCAUGCUGUGACUCGUUAGCUUUCAACUGCAUGCAAGUUAAAACUAAGUUACAAAACCUGGAAAAGGAGUUUACAGUGGAAUAUUAACAAUAACAAUAGUGGCAUUGGUGACAUGGCUGCAAUUAUACAUGGAUCAUAAUUUUUUAUGAGGCUAGCAUUAGAGCCUUAGAGGUUUGCUACUGGCUGGCUUGUUUUAAAAUUGUACUACAUCCAUGUGCUGGAAGGCGUGGCUUCCUUAUUAUGGCUACAGUUAUGUCUGAGCUGAAUACUACAGAUAAUUUAUUUCCUACACUUGCAUACAAAUGUUGCCUGUCUCACAGCUUCUCUUCCUAAUUUUAUGUUACAGAUUCAUUGCAAGACUGCCAGGAGUUUAAUUUGUGAAAUGCAGAUACAAAGCUCUGGGCUGUCAGUGGUCUCAUUAUUAGUGUAUGCGAGCGAGGCGAGCGAGAGUCUGGUUCUGUGUGUACAUGUGAAGCAAAACCUGGGCAUAUUGUAACCCAGGAUAUGUGCGCUUCAUACCAAGAGUGAAAAGAUCUAGCGCAUCCCUAGCACCAGUGGGAAACAAAGUCUAGGGUAGAGCCAUGACCGCCAGAUUCCCCCUAGAAGUUCCUCAGCUCUGUGGAGCAGCUGUCAUCUCCGGAGUGCUUGUCGCAGCAUCCUUGGGAAGGCCAGGCUUCUUACUUUGUCCUACGAGGAAGCAGAUGAUCUUUUGCUGGGGGGCAAGGAUGUUAUGUUCAACUUUUUCAGAGGGAGCAGUGAUGUAUAACAGAUCAUUGGAUGAGGCAGCGGUACGACUUUGCUUGUUUGCACUAUAAAUGCCAGAACUACUUGGCAUCGUGUUUCUUCUCUCGGCAGUAGUACUCGCUGUGCUAUACCUCCUAGAUGUGUUGGUGAAUUAACGUCGUGAUUUUUUUUUUCUCUUCUAGUUUUGCAGUGUGGGAGUUAAGAGUACUGAAUUGUGGAGUUUACCAGACCACAUCAGUGAGACACUUGGAUAACCUGUUGCCUUCUUGAGACACCAAUUCAUCUUUCUACUAUUCUUAAUGACUAGAGAAUAGAGGCAUUUGCUCUUUGACCCUUCACUUCAGGCUAACCCCCUUCCUCUCCCAACGGCUCCAUCCGUUCUUCCGUAGCACAACAUUUGACCACGUGUAAUCCAUGCCAUUUGUUUCAGAUGUGGAAAUGUGCUCUCAUUGCACUCUGUUGAGGGGGAAGGUGUGUGUGUACACAAUAUGCCUGGAGACUUUGUAGAUAUUGGUACCAAAGUUUACUACCUGCCCUGUUUGGUACCUCUUAACCCUUUGAGCGCCCCUCUGUGCAUAGCCCACAGGUAAAGUGACACAUCAAGGGAGUUUUAAUGCAUUCCUUACCUUCACAUUCCCUUUUACUGUUAUGGUCUGAUGUCAUAACAAGAUGAGCCUUCAGGGUGAUGGGAAGAAAAUAUAAUAUACAGUAGACCUUAAAAUGAGAUGUGUGCCAUUUAUCACUUGAGCUUUUUUCCCCACAGAGUGUUUUUGGAAGAAUGGAUUUGGAAGUUUACUAUGUAAACCUUGUUACCAGCUUUCAGUACAAAUUAGUUAGUAGCCAGAUCUUUUGGAUUUGCCUGUUUCUAUUCUUCUGAACAGCACAUGGACAUUGUGGUAUAGGGUUGAUCAUAAGCAUUGUGGCUUUGGCUUUGAGUCAGCAUGUGAGAGCUUGCAUUUCAAGGAAACUGCAGACAUUGACCCAAAGAUUUCUGAGACUUUAUUCAAAUUUCAGACAUAGUUAAGCCUGAAUUUUAAGCUUGCUGAAAUAAUACUUGUUGCUUUAGAUCAGUGUUUCCCAAACUUUUGAUACCCCUGGCACACUUUUUGGGUUUCAAAUUGGCAGCAAGCUUCACUCUUACACCCAAAAAGGUAUCUAUUUGUAAGACUUAGGCAGCGGUGCCCAAUUUUUUGGCCCUGUGCGCUGGAUCCAGUCUGUGUGCCCUCUUGGAAGGAUUGGCGUUUAGAAAUUUGGUGACAGGAGCAGUGGCCGUGUUAAUUGCCAUGGCUUCCCCGCUACCAAAUUUCUGAACCUAUGGGGAGCCCUGCAGCUUGGCAGGCUGGAUCUCAUGCAGAUGAAGUGCCACUUCUCAUGGCACGCUUUCGCUCUUCUCUGCAGCAUACUCUUUGGGAAUUGCUGCUUUAGAUUAUCUUAUGGCCAAUAGAUGCUGAAGCAAAAAGGCAUUUUGCUGGAGUCACAGUUGUGUUUGGGGAAAAUUUGGUGCUUUAUUCAUAAUCAUUAGACAUGCUUCAAGGCAGGGUCUUUCAGUUGAGGAGUUAUCUUUUAUGCUGUAUUGAAGGAAUAGCAAAAGUCCUUACCUGUGCUGCUUUCUCAAAUAGUCCUGUGCAAUGGUUGAAUAACAUUUUAGUUUGGUACUUAGUGAAGAUGUUCUCUUAAAUCUUUCAUCUAGAGCCCAGAAGGCUUUGUUGAUGGGAUAUUGAUACAAGAUAGACAUUGGGCAUCAUUGCUGAGGCCUUGUCUCUGAUUGCUCUUCUCAUGACUCAUAGGACACAGAGGAUGCUUCUGACAGAAUAGGUCAUCUUCUUUCUGACUAUUGGAAUUUGACAGCACUGUUGUAACAUCCUAAAGUGGCUGGCCAUGCUGUAUAAUCAUCUCUCUUUUUUUUCCUUUGAGUUGGUAUUGCUGAGUGUUUAUAGACAAGUCCCCUCAGUUGAGUCUCCUUCACAGCCAGUAAGUAAAAAGUGAAGACACAUGGGCAUCAUGUGAAAGGCAAAAAAAUAUCCUGUAUGUAAAAGAUGUGCUGCUUUUCAAGAAAUGCAUAGUGGAACUGUGAAAUGCUUUAAUAUAUUGAAAACAUGCAGUUAGUUGCUUCCCAAGACUUUCAUUGGAGAUCUGCUCAGCGGUAUCACGGUAUAGCUAUAUCUAUGUCCAGAAGGAUGUGGAACACCACUGCUUUGAUGUGCCUGGGUAGUUUUGACUAUUAAUCAGUUAUGUCCAUUUAAACGAUCAGGUUUUCUUUCCUGUCCCCGGAUGGUAGAUGACUCGGUCUUGCUUUCUAGAUGUUCUGCUUCCAGAGCUGGAAAGGCAGGAACCAGCUUACCUGAAGUGGUCGGCGUAUUGCUAGCACUGUUAUAUAGGGUCUGGGAGAAAUGUGGUUUUGUUUUUCAGUUGGUGAGAUUAAGUUACUGAAGUAAUGCACAGUUCUCUUUAACACUUUGGGUGACCCCCUGCUUCUGAAGCUGUUGUGGAAAGCGCUUCAGUCAGAAUGAAACCAUUUCAGUUUAGAUCAUGGAAACAGUCCUGCGUGCGUCUGAGUAUCCACAUUGCCCUCCAGCUGAGGUUUUCCGAAGACCAGAAUUCCUUAUGAAGUCUUUAUACAGAGUUACGCUGGAAAAUGGUUUAUAAUGUUACUCCCAGGUCUUACUGGUGUCAUCUGCUAAUUCAUCUAAACAGAAGGCUUUGGCAGAUGAGGACCAUUCUAGACUGACUAGUUGUAAUCCAGAAGAACUGCUUAAAAUAUUCCUGGGGGACAGUCCCCAUCCAGGCCAGAAGCUAGCUUAUAACACAUAGGGCUCUUAGCACCCAUAGCCUAAGCUUAAGUGAUGACACGAGACUUCGUCCCAAAUGGCUAACGCCCAGCUUCUGAGCUAAGCGCCAAGGAGGACUGCUGCUCCCUUAUUCCAUUUGUUCAAUAAAAGCAUCUUCCUAAAAACCAGCUGUGUCCUCACUCCCUACUUGACUGCACCCCCACAUCAUCUCCCCAGCCCCUGGGAACCCAAAACUGUAUGUCCAAGCAACCCUUCCCCCACCUCUGCCUCCCCACUCAAGUCAGGCAAGCACCGUGCAUUUUUUGGUCAACUGCAAGCUACUGGAGUUUACUGACCUCAUGUUUAGGAGAAAAGGGGCAGCAGAACAGUGAAAACUUCCCCAGCUGCAGGUCACCCAGCCUCUGAGACCCUCAAAGCAUGGGUGCAAGCACUCCUUCCCUUCCUCCUCUCUCCCCAGCUGGUCGCCCUCUACACGGUCCAGCGGGCUGGAUGCUCACUCCCACGUGCUGGUGUCAGAGCAGCAGCACUUUCUGCACAGUCGUGAACUGGCUCCCAAUCGGUGUGGUUUGGGAAUGGGCGGUUGUGACGUGGGUUACUUCCCAGGCAGUGACACUUUGGAGUGGUUCGGUUGUCUUUAAGGGUGGACGCACGUGACACGUUCUCCGCUUGAGUGACUGCAGCAGGCUUUGUUGCUGACCCUGCAAAAAGUAAGGAUUAGAAAGUCUUUCCUUCAUAGAAGGCACAGACGUGAAGGUCUGUAUGGUUUUAAACGUCCUCCUGUGGUUAGGGGGGAGAAAUCUGUUCUAUUAUCUUGAUUGCCCUGGGCUUGCCUAGCGAGACGACGAGUUGAACAGUAAUGUGUUGGCAGUGUCCGGGGUUGUGUUCCCCCUCCCCGUUAUUGGAGGUAGAGAACCGUGUUGGUCUGAGGUUGGGCAGAAGGCAGGGCGAUGCGGCUGGCGCCUUGCGAAGGCCGUUCUUCAGAGAACCAUGAGCUUGCAUAAGCUGCGGCCUACUUGAGCAGUUAUGGUCUCCCUUGUCUGGCAAAGCUGAAAUUUAGCCAGGACUUGGUAUUUAACAAGCAACUCUUAAAGUAUGUCAUGAAAUCUCUUACAGCAACAGGUGAGUAAGGCUUGUUUUGCACGUUACCUGAAAAGUCUGCCUUAACAGAAGCCCAAUGCCCUAAA